CCACAGCCCUGCAGGGGUAGGUCCCAUAUGAAGAAGAGCAGAGAGCAAUGAAAUCCCGACCAGUCAGUUCAAGUGCAUAGAAGCUAGCUAGCAUGGAUGUGGAUCAAACUACCAGACUGGCCUGCAGCAGGAGGACAGUCCCUAUGAGAAGUCUUGUUUGGUCAAGCCCACACAGUGUCAGAGAAGCCCUCACCCUCAAACAGAGCAGCCCUGACGUGGGAGUCCAGCCUGCACCACUGAGGCUUUCAGAAACAACUUAAGUGUCCAUAGCAUGUGAGACUGGGAAGAGGAAUGGCUACCAAGAUGUGUGCCACAGGGGCCAUCUGUGCAGGAUUGCCUCCGUCCCCUUCCUGCUCCUGCCCAGCAGCGCGGGGAACUGCAUGGAUACUUGGCACGGACUGGAUUUUCUUGUCUUCAUGGAAUCAUUUGAUAAGAUUGUGAAUAACCUCCAACAACAGCGAAAUCUGAGACUGGCCAAUUUCUUCAAAAGAAUAACUGAGUCUGUAAGUCAUCAGUGAACAAUUUGGUACCUGGCAACAGAG
Athene cunicularia (burrowing owl) is the source of this 542-nucleotide long non-coding RNA. RefSeq lists it as uncharacterized. The record is from RefSeq and is a predicted model, not a curated record. The transcript is spliced from 4 exons. Lineage: Eukaryota; Metazoa; Chordata; Aves; Strigiformes; Strigidae.